This 308-nucleotide long non-coding RNA is filed under the name Mytilus galloprovincialis (Mediterranean mussel). The record is from RNAcentral. Lineage: Eukaryota; Metazoa; Mollusca; Bivalvia; Mytilida; Mytilidae.
UCUAAACGUCUUCUGAUUCCUGCCAUAAAUCGACUAAUUUGUUGCUAAGGUAGCAGCAACCAUUUCUGAUGAAGGGCAUUGUUUAUUUCAUGAUGUGUUUGAACUGGGGUGUCCUUUCGCGCACUUUCCAUCCAAUAGUGUCCCAUAUAUGCUCGAUAUGGUUCAAAUCCGGGCUACAAUCGGGCAAAGGAAGAUGAACCGAAUUCUAUUGGAACAAUGGAUCUUCCUCCACGAUGCUAAUUUCCAACUUUGGCGAGCUCUGCACUACAGUUGAUACGGAAAACUGUGUGUCUGUUCGUAAGCAAAUG